GACGAACGCUGGCGGCGUGCUUAACACAUGCAAGUCGAACGAAGAGCGAUGGAAGCUUGCUUCUAUCAAUCUUAGUGGCGAACGGGUGAGUAACGCGUAAUCAACCUGCCCUUCAGAGGGGGACAACAGUUGGAAACGACUGCUAAUACCGCAUACGAUCUAACCUCGGCAUCGAGGAAAGAUGAAAGGUGGCCUCUAUGUAUAAGCUAUCACUGAGGGAGGGGAUUGCGUCUGAUUAGCUAGUUGGAGGGGUAACGGCCCACCAAGGCGAUGAUCAGUAGCCGGUCUGAGAGGAUGAACGGCCACAUUGGGACUGAGACACGGCCCAGACUCCUACGGGAGGCAGCAGUGGGGAAUCUUCCGCAAUGGACGAAAGUCUGACGGAGCAACGCCGCGUGAGUGAUGACGGCCUUCGGGUUGUAAAGCUCUGUUAAUCGGGACGAAAGGCCUUCUUGCGAAUAGUGAGAAGGAUUGACGGUACCGGAAUAGAAAGCCACGGCUAACUACGUG
RNAcentral lists this ribosomal RNA (510 nucleotides) under uncultured bacterium. RNAcentral describes it as "partial 16S ribosomal RNA". It matches the Rfam family "Bacterial small subunit ribosomal RNA", at positions 28 to 507 of the family's 1533-position model. The record is from RNAcentral.